Molecule: long non-coding RNA, 642 nt
Organism: Vigna unguiculata (cowpea)
Lineage: Eukaryota; Viridiplantae; Streptophyta; Magnoliopsida; Fabales; Fabaceae
Source: RefSeq, a predicted model, not a curated record
AAGUUCCAAAUGGUUUUUUAAUAAACCUUCAGAAAGUUUCACGUUCACGCCCAUUUACACCAUCCUAUUCCUUAUUAUUUUUCACAUGCUCACAAAACCUAAAACCCUAAAAGCUUCAAAUCUUCAUCUCUGAAUGGGAAAAAUAUUUCGUGUUCACAUCUCUUUGUCUCAAACCAAUUUCACUCUUCGAUAUUUGAUUGGUGCGUUUUACAUAUCUGCGAUGCAUUUGACACUAGUUGCUUAGAGGAUUUAGUACGCACGGUGUAUGUGUUGCGGGUUCACGACGACUGCUUCGAAGGUUCGCGACUACUUCCAAGGUUAACGAUUGCUUCAAUUUAACGGUUGUGCCUUUUCCUUUCAAAAUCAUGCCAUUACCAUUGAAAUGAAGCCUACAUUGAUGAAGGAAAGGAGAUUUGAUGUUAACCAUGUUGAUCUAGGCUAGAACGUGUGCUCUCCACAUGAUUACAUCAUUAAGAAAGUGUAUUUGACGUUUGUAAUUCAUGUUGUAGACCUUGUAGCAUUAAUUAGAUGUAGUUUGGUCUUUAUUGUCUUUAAAAUGUCACUUUUAGUCUGUUGAAUGAUUUUUCAACUGGUUAAAAGGUUGGCUGUAAUAGUCUUAAAUUGCAACAAAUUCAAUCAGUU